RNAcentral lists this ribosomal RNA (219 nucleotides) under Triticum aestivum (bread wheat). RNAcentral describes it as "partial small subunit ribosomal RNA". The record is from RNAcentral. Lineage: Eukaryota; Viridiplantae; Streptophyta; Magnoliopsida; Poales; Poaceae.
AUGCAGCAAACUGGUGAUGUCGGCAAGGGACGGCGAGAUGCGCCCUUCAAGUCCUCUAGAUGCCAGGGAGACCUCAGUGACGGCCCCAUCUCCAUUGCAAGUGAUGCCUUCCCACUCGCAGCAGUCUGUCUCAUGGUGCCACGAUGCGGUGAGGGCGCCAUCUCCCAAUAUCCCAGCGAGGAACUGGAGAAGUGCAUGCUUCUCCUGCUCGGCGCAUGA